RNAcentral lists this ribosomal RNA (460 nucleotides) under uncultured bacterium. RNAcentral describes it as "partial 16S ribosomal RNA". It matches the Rfam family "Bacterial small subunit ribosomal RNA", at positions 338 to 795 of the family's 1533-position model. The record is from RNAcentral.
CCUACGGGCGGCAGCAGUGAGGAAUAUUGGUCAAUGGGCGGAAGCCUGAACCAUCCACUUAGCUUGCAGGAUGACGGCCCUACUGGUUGUAAACUGCUUUUUUACGGGAAUAACGCGCCUUACGUUUAGGGCUUUGCAUGUCUCUUAUGAAUAAGGACCGGCUACUUCCUGGCCAGCAGCCGCGGUAAUACGGAGGGUCCGGGCGUUAUCCGGAUUUAUUGGGUUUAAAGGGAGCGUAGACGGGAUGUCAAGCGUGCUGUGAAAUGUCCGGGCUCAACCCGAGCCUUGCAGCGCUGACUGGCAUGCUUGAGUCCGCGGAAAGCAGGCGGAAGUCGUGGUGUAGCGGUGAAAUGCUUAGAUAUGACGAAGAACCCCGAUUGCGAAGGCAGCUUGCUGCAGCGGAACUGACGCUGAUGCUCGAAAGCGCGGGUAUCGAACAGGAUUAGAUACCCCAGUAGUC